UACGAAGGGGGCUAGCGUUGUUCGGAAUUACUGGGCGUAAAGCGCACGUAGGCGGACUACUAAGUCAGGGGUGAAAUCCCGGGGCUCAACCCCGGAACUGCCUUUGAUACUGAUAGUCUCGAGUCCGGAAGAGGUGAGUGGAAUUCCGAGUGUAGAGGUGAAAUUCGUAGAUAUUCGGAGGAACACCAGCGGCGAAGGCGGCUCACUGGUCCGGUACUGACGCUGAGGUGCGAAAGCGUGGGGAGCAAACAGG
This 253-nucleotide ribosomal RNA is filed under the name uncultured bacterium. RNAcentral's name for it is "partial 16S ribosomal RNA". It matches the Rfam family "Bacterial small subunit ribosomal RNA", at positions 524 to 776 of the family's 1533-position model. The record is from RNAcentral.